GUUGUUCUCGUAUAGAAGAAGAAAACUCUUAAGCGAUAUAUUUUAUUUCAACAAGUUUUCUUUACUUUUGAUAUGAAUGUCUCUUUUGGUAAUUUUACGUACCCACAAAGUCUUAUAUAAUUUGUAUAAAAAAAGAUAUGUGUAUCUAGCAUUUAGGGAUGUGUUAAUAAAAUUUCUCAAGAAAGUAAAAAAAUAAGCACACAAAACAUAACUAACUAACUAGAACAAUUUUUUUUUCUUUUUCCUUUUAUCAAAAAUAAACAAAACAAAAACAAAUAUGCUAAAGUGACCUAGGAUUAAGGCUAUUAAACCAUAAUCCCCGGCAACAGCGCCAUUAAUUUGAAGAAAAUGAGAAAGCGAAGUCAGUGUCGUAUUCAUUCUUUUAUUUAUACGGUUCAGAAGACAAGCCAGGUUUAAUGAGAACUUCAAAUGGAGUGGCUUUAUUUAUACGAUUGGUAUAGGACGCGGCCAUGUAAAUGAUGUAAUUGAUAGUGAAGGUGCUGGUGAAGGUAACUUCACGAGAAUCAUGCUUGAAACUUGAAAGUAAGAGUCAUCAUGCUUGUUAAUAUUCGUUGUCUAAUUUUUGAGCUCUGAUCCCAAAAUAAAAAAUAAAAAAUGGCACGUGUGACAUGAGCGGGAAUCAAAUUGAAUCGCAAAUAGAGACGUUGCUGGAUUGACUUCGAUGGAUGAUCACGGUUUCUACGGCGUAAUGGGUUCGAGGACU
Molecule: long non-coding RNA, 724 nt
Filed under: Fragaria vesca (wild strawberry)
Lineage: Eukaryota; Viridiplantae; Streptophyta; Magnoliopsida; Rosales; Rosaceae
Description: long non-coding RNA (FVES_LNC004507)
Source: RNAcentral